UGGGGAAUAUUGGGCAAUGGGCGCAAGCCUGACCCAGCAAUGCCGCGUGAAGGAAGAAGGCCCUCGGGUUGUAAACUUCUUUUAUCAGGGACGAAGGAUGUGACGGUACCUGAUGAAUAAGCUCCGGCUAACUACGUGCCAGCAGCCGCGGUAAUACGUAGGGAGCAAGCGUUAUCCGGAUUUACUGGGUGUAAAGGGCGCGUAGGCGGGAUGGCAAGUCAGAUGUGAAAUCCAGGGGCUCAACCCCUGAACUGCAUUUGAAACUGUCGUUCUUGAGUACUGGAGAGGUUGACGGAAUUCCUAGUGUAGCGGUGAAAUGCGUAGAUAUUAGGAGGAACACCAGUGGCGAAGGCGGUCAACUGGACAGCAACUGACGCUGAGGCGCGAAAGCGUGGGGAGCAAACAGG
This 407-nucleotide ribosomal RNA is filed under the name uncultured bacterium. RNAcentral's name for it is "bacterial SSU rRNA". It matches the Rfam family "Bacterial small subunit ribosomal RNA", at positions 355 to 776 of the family's 1533-position model. The record is from RNAcentral. RNAcentral also lists the same sequence under 1 other name.